This 69-nucleotide transfer RNA is filed under the name Cucumaria miniata. RNAcentral describes it as "tRNA-Tyr". It matches the Rfam family "tRNA". Rfam says of the family: Transfer RNA (tRNA) molecules are approximately 80 nucleotides in length. Their secondary structure includes four short double-helical elements and three loops (D, anti-codon, and T loops). Further hydrogen bonds mediate the characteristic L-shaped molecular structure. tRNAs have two regions of fundamental functional importance: the anti-codon, which is responsible for specific mRNA codon recognition, and the 3' end, to which the tRNAs corresponding amino acid is attached (by aminoacyl-tRNA synthetases). tRNAs cope with the degeneracy of the genetic code in two manners: having more than one tRNA (with a specific anti-codon) for a particular amino acid; and 'wobble' base-pairing, i.e. permitting non-standard base-pairing at the 3rd anti-codon position. The record is from RNAcentral. Lineage: Eukaryota; Metazoa; Echinodermata; Holothuroidea; Dendrochirotida; Cucumariidae.
GACAAGAUGGCUGAAAAAGCAAAGGUUUGUAAAACCUUUUAUGUAGGCACCCAGCCCUACUCUUCGUCA